UUUCUCUGCACUGACCUCAGCCUCAUUCCAUUCAGGCCAGAUAGGGAAGCGGCUCCUCUUCAGGUCCCCUGGGCCCUCUGAUGCACUGACCACUAAUGAGGAGACCCUAGAGUUGUCCAACUGUGCUUGAAUUGACCACCAGUGCGCCAUGUGACCUCUGUUUCCUUGGAGCAUUACCCAAGGCUGGAUUAGUAAGUAGGUUACCAUGGAGACAAGCCCACACUGUCACAAUUACCGUGGGCCCCACAGAACAUGACGUCCCAAUCAGCGUGGGCACCGCAACUUACAACACCGCAGACAACAUGGACAUGAAGGAGCAAGAUCAGUGUCCACACAACUCUGGGUCGAUCUAGUCUCAAACAGACACUAAAUAAAACUCUUAAUGCAA
Molecule: long non-coding RNA, 388 nt
Organism: Pygocentrus nattereri (red-bellied piranha)
Lineage: Eukaryota; Metazoa; Chordata; Actinopteri; Characiformes; Serrasalmidae
Exons: 2
Source: RefSeq, a predicted model, not a curated record